Molecule: long non-coding RNA, 3746 nt
Organism: Harpia harpyja (harpy eagle)
Lineage: Eukaryota; Metazoa; Chordata; Aves; Accipitriformes; Accipitridae
Exons: 4
Source: RefSeq, a predicted model, not a curated record
UCGGCUGCUCCUUCCCUCUUCUGGAGAAGGGAGAGCCGGCCGCCGGGGUGUGAGGCCUCCACCCGGGACACUGGGGGGGGGGCGGUUUGGGGGCUGGAGACCUGCUCCGGCGGGUCGGCAGGAGCUUUACCGUGAAACGGCAUCGGUGUCACGGAGCAGCAGUGUUCCCCUCCGGCUCCCAUGUCCUGGCGGGCAGUGCCAGCGCAGUCCUUGAGUUGGUCGCCCGCUACCAUUUUGCCUCUUCCCCUUCCUUUCCCUCCCAAACUCUCACUGAAUAAUUCAUUCCCACAGCUCCCUUCGGCAGAGUAAGGUCUGCAGCAGGGAAAGUCUCUUCUCUGCAUGUAUUUAAGGCAGGAUUCUUUAAGGGAAGAAUCGUGAAAAUGCAUAUCACCAAUGAAAAUGCAGAUUCACUCCAGUUCAAAACCUUCAUCUGUUGUCUGGGACAUGAUGGAUACAAAAGAUAAGGACACUGUAUUGACAGCUCUAAACGCUUCACACGUUCAAAAUACAUUCUACAUUAGAGUAGUCUGAUGCAGAAAUGGGAAAUACAUGGACAGUAUGGUUUCUUCACUCCUCACCAGCAUUUUAGAUUCUUUAUCUUUGGGGAAGAUCAAAACCAAGUUUGAAAUGGAAAAGAUCUUCUAGCUUUAAUUAUGAAAUCUCUGCUGUAACUAUUACAAAGUAUGUCCUAGAAGUUCUUUCUCAGACUAAUUUUCCUAAUAUUAAAAAUGUAUCAGUGUUCAAGCUGGUCUGAAUAAAACUAGUUUUUCUGUCUCACAGAAGCCUACCCUCUGGACAAGAAAGCCACCUUUAGGGCAUGGUAGGAAUCCUUUUUCCCAUUUGUGAUCAUUAGUGGAGAAGUAAGAAGGCAAAUAGGGAUGAAAAAGAACUUCUAAAUCUGCUUUGAUGUGAACCUCAACUUCCUAAGUACCCUGCUGAAAAGUAAAUUAUUCACAGUUUUUACUCUUAACUUUGUUCAACUCUGUUUCAACUUUAGUGCUUUCAUUUCUACAGGCAAGUAUUUACACAGACCAAACGUGCGUGCUAGUGAAUGUUUGCUCAUGUCUUUCUACAAAAGUAUCUCUUUGCAGAUGUAAUAGUAUAUUUUGUAGACAUAGUCUGAAUGUUUGCUUUUGAAAACUGUCCUAGAAGACAGUGGCAGAUGUAAUUGCAGAAUCUAGGUCAGGAUGAUAAAUGUACAGCAAGUGAAAUACAGGAAGUAUUAAUAAAAAGCCAUGCAAUUAUAGGUGUCAUUUUCAAAUGAAAUGUAAUGGCUUACAUUUGCAGAAAGGUGUCAGGCACAAACGCUGCCAAUAUGUUUGCAUCUACACGUGUACUUGUGUAACUUCAGGGCUGCAAGCACACUGGGAAGUUAGGUGCUAAAGCACUGGAAAUGGAUGCACAGUUCCCACACUGGAAGGAAGAGUGGCACUUCUGCGUAUUAUGAGGCAAAGUGUGAACCUGCAUGAAAAUGCCCCCUAGUAUGCUCAUAAACAAUUUCUUUGUAAGCAGCUAAAAGCCAUUCAAGUGGAUCAGUAUUGCUUAUUGGUCUCUGAUCUGUAAUAUAAAAGUAACUCAUGACAGUGGAGCUAGAAGUGAAAAUAAGACAGCAGUCACUAUGAAGGUAUACUGGAACUAUAGAGAUAAACUAUGUGAGGUGGAAAGAAUGGUAAUGAGGGGUAAAAAAAGCUGCAAUUCCAAAGUAGAUGUGACAGUAGAUGUUUAAAAAAAAUAAUCUGAGACAUGGAGACUGAAAAGUGUAAUUAUAAGAAUGAGAGGUGAUGUUUUGGCCAGAAAUACACAAUAUACAUACAAAAGAAAUUGUCUAAAUUUGAUGUGUCACCAGCACUGAAUUUCUUAAAAUGGAAGCAUGUCAGUAAUUAAAUGCCAAUGAUAAAUUCUGGGAACAAGAUCUUAUCCAUGUGGAAUACAAAUACCAUUUUGGCCUAAAUCCUGAACAACGAAAGUUGGUUUGCUGAUGUAAGGUACAUGCUCUUUUCUACUAGUGAGAAUAUUUUGCAUCUUUACAAACUUGAUGUAGGUCCUCAGCAGAUGGAGGAGAUGGCUGACAUGUCCCUUCUCUCAUGCGUAGCUUUAGAAGGCAGAUAAGGCUUAUGAGCACCAGGACUGCCCGUCUUUGUAAUCUGUGGGGAGAAGGCAGUGCCCAGGCUCCAAGUUUAGGCCAGUGUCCUGUCCCUGACAGGAGCUAAUCAGAGAUUCAGUAGAUGGAGAGUGCUAAGGAGUUGGCAGUAGGUACAGGGAUAAUCCAUCCCCCUUGCUAGUGCUUACAAGGACAGAAGAAUGGGGGAUGCUUUCAGGCUGACUUUAAAUGACAUGGGUGACAGAAGCCUGGUGACUGGUGUGGAAAGAUGGGUCCAUGUGGAAGGAGAGACAAGCAUAGCUCUGCUGCUGGUAGGAGCCCCUUUCCAGUGCAUCUCCACCAUGCAGCGGGCCAUCAGGGCAGGGGUGCUGGUCUGGUCUCGGCUCUGCCCCAUAGUAGUUUUGGCAGUGAUGGCUAUGAGCUAAUAGGUUGGAUCUGUCUUCCAAGGUCUCUUAUUUGAAAUGCCAGGUAUAAAUCUAAAUUGAUACCCCAGCCACCUUCUAAUCUCUCUGAGUUUAAAGCUCAUAUUUACAGAGACAGUAAUUUGCAAAGGUUCAUAUUUAUGAGAAAAGAAUCCUGUUAUAAAUUUUGAAUAUUCCCAUUUCUAAUACUUCAUUUACUUGCUGCUAACUUUUCUGGUAAGAGACAGAAGACACAGGUCCUGUUCUGUUUUUCUGUAACAUGUAUUUUAUUUUUAGGCCCUUUUAUUUAAUACACUAUUCUUAUAACGUUGUGGAGUGCAGAUAUUUAGAAGACCACUCAAAAAAGCUAAGAAGUAAGGAGGGCAUGUAGUAUGCUUUUUUCACAAGUGUUUUCUAUGUCUGGCCGAUAGAAUUAUCCCUUUCUCAGCCUCCUUUAGCACUGAAGUGCCCUUCUUGAAAGAGAAUGUGCAGUACAGCACUUCAGAAAAGGUGGCUACUGCUUUGCCUUCAAAGUUAUAAAGCUAUUCCUGUUAUUCUUCAUCCUAUGACUUACGUAUGCAUCUUUUGCUGUGACUGCAUACUGAAGCUGUUCACUGAGCUACCUGCAGUGAUGGGUAAUAUUCCCACCACAGGUGACUUUGUAAAAGAAAGUUUAAUAUUGUCCAUUUAUUGCUACAUUAAAGCAGUAGUUUCCUAAGGUUCCCAACUUUAUAUCAUUUGUUGAAGCCAAGCUUAUCUACGAAGUCCAAGCAAAGAACUCAUACUUAGUGAUGACCAGCCCACCUUAAUAACAUCCUUUAUCCUGUUAAGGCAUGUGCAAAGAUUAACCCAGUUUACUUUUCAGGAGACUUAAGAAUGUUCAGGUUUUUCUAAUGUACAUGUAACAGAGCAGUGCAGUCAAGGGGACAGAUUCAUUUCUGCUAUACCUGUGAAGAAUAUGGCUCAGGCACCCAGCAAGUUAUGUCAAACUCUUGGAGGCCACGUGCCAGAUCUUUUGGAACUUCUUAGGUGAUGUAUUUUGCCAAACUGACAAUUAGAUCAGGUGCUUAGCAAUUCUGAAAAUUAAGCUAAUUACUAUGAUACUGACAGAUUUAACACUCUUUCUUAAUUCUAGUACAAGCUUUUAUUUUUCAAUACUAGGCAGAAGAAGGGUGCAAGUAUUCCAGGCCUAAAGAAAUUAGUGGCACAGUGCCAGUGCAAGCGAAGACAGGUGAUUUCCCUGG